RNAcentral lists this ribosomal RNA (1217 nucleotides) under Micrococcus sp. RNAcentral's name for it is "bacterial SSU rRNA". It matches the Rfam family "Bacterial small subunit ribosomal RNA", at positions 104 to 1333 of the family's 1533-position model. The record is from RNAcentral. Lineage: Bacteria; Bacillati; Actinomycetota; Actinomycetes; Micrococcales; Micrococcaceae.
GGGUGAGUAACACGUGAGUAACCUGCCCUUAACUCUGGGAUAAGCCUGGGAAACUGGGUCUAAUACCGGAUAGGAGCGCCCACCGCAUGGUGGGUGUUGGAAAGAUUUAUCGGUUUUGGAUGGACUCGCGGCCUAUCAGCUUGUUGGUGAGGUAAUGGCUCACCAAGGCGACGACGGGUAGCCGGCCUGAGAGGGUGACCGGCCACACUGGGACUGAGACACGGCCCAGACUCCUACGGGAGGCAGCAGUGGGGAAUAUUGCACAAUGGGCGCAAGCCUGAUGCAGCGACGCCGCGUGAGGGAUGACGGCCUUCGGGUUGUAAACCUCUUUCAGUAGGGAAGAAGCGAAAGUGACGGUACCUGCAGAAGAAGCACCGGCUAACUACGUGCCAGCAGCCGCGGUAAUACGUAGGGUGCGAGCGUUAUCCGGAAUUAUUGGGCGUAAAGAGCUCGUAGGCGGUUUGUCGCGUCUGUCGUGAAAGUCCGGGGCUUAACCCCGGAUCUGCGGUGGGUACGGGCAGACUAGAGUGCAGUAGGGGAGACUGGAAUUCCUGGUGUAGCGGUGGAAUGCGCAGAUAUCAGGAGGAACACCGAUGGCGAAGGCAGGUCUCUGGGCUGUAACUGACGCUGAGGAGCGAAAGCAUGGGGAGCGAACAGGAUUAGAUACCCUGGUAGUCCAUGCCGUAAACGUUGGGCACUAGGUGUGGGGACCAUUCCACGGUUUCCGCGCCGCAGCUAACGCAUUAAGUGCCCCGCCUGGGGAGUACGGCCGCAAGGCUAAAACUCAAAGGAAUUGACGGGGGCCCGCACAAGCGGCGGAGCAUGCGGAUUAAUUCGAUGCAACGCGAAGAACCUUACCAAGGCUUGACAUGUUCUCGAUCGCCGUAGAGAUACGGUUUCCCCUUUGGGGCGGGUUCACAGGUGGUGCAUGGUUGUCGUCAGCUCGUGUCGUGAGAUGUUGGGUUAAGUCCCGCAACGAGCGCAACCCUCGUUCCAUGUUGCCAGCACGUAAUGGUGGGGACUCAUGGGAGACUGCCGGGGUCAACUCGGAGGAAGGUGAGGACGACGUCAAAUCAUCAUGCCCCUUAUGUCUUGGGCUUCACGCAUGCUACAAUGGCCGGUACAAUGGGUUGCGAUACUGUGAGGUGGAGCUAAUCCCAAAAAGCCGGUCUCAGUUCGGAUUGGGGUCUGCAACUCGACCCCAUGAAGUAGGAGUC